UUUUUUUUUUUUUUUGCCCCUGCAAUUAUUUCUAUCACAUGGGUCAUAACCUCUUUUACCCCUUAGGCUAAUUUGAGUUGGGUCUUUAACUCUUGCCAUUAAAACAUCCUGGUCAAGACAUUGCUUAUCAUCUAACUGAUAAUCCCUACUUUAGCUUCUGUCUUUCCCCUAGCCCUAUUCAAAUGGGGAAUGUGUCUUGCCUAUCCCUAAACCAUCAGAACUCCCAUUGACCCACAUCACAGUUAUAAUUUCAUUCAUCUAUUGGGACUUUUAUUCUGUUACAGGGAUUUUCUACCUCACUGGAUCUUCAUGUGAAGUCCUGAGGAAAAAAAGAACUAUUUAUAUUCAAUGCUGGGACUCAAACUCAUGUAUUCUGACUGCAAAUCCAGAGUUCUUUCUUUCAUAUUGUACCACAUCCCCUGGGUAGAAACAUGGCUCUAAUGUAAACUUGCACUGUUUUUUUCCCAUAGGGACUUCCUUUCUCCAACACCUGUCAGCCCAAUGGGACACAGGCCUCAUGUUUGUUUCCAUAUCUCAUAGGUUUUUGGAAGUGCUAUUGUGAAAGUGCUGUUAUGAAUGAUAAAUCAUGUGUCAGGAUGAAGCCAUAAUCAUCCCGAGUCCUCGAAUGACAACAGUGGUGGAGCUCCCCUUGCUGAUUUCCACUGACAUGUAGUAAGAAUACAUAAUGUUUUCUUCUGCCAUUGAGAUCUGGGGUUUGGCUGUAUGUCUGUAUAAGAAGGCUGUCUUAAUUGAUACACUAAUCUCAUCCUAUUACCAGUGCCUGAGCCAGUGAACUAGCCUUGGCCAAGCAAUCCACAGCAAUCUAUGGUCAAGGAAUUGGUUGAGAAAAAGGCUUGUGACUCAGUGGGUAUACCAAGAUGAGAAGAAAGUUUGGGAUUUGAGAAAAGAAGUAUUCACACCUUUAAGAGAGCCAUCAGAAGAGAUGAAUUCUCUCUCUGGAUGUUGUGUGUAAAUGUGAAGCCUGUAACUACAAGCAGUCAUCUUACUCCCAGUCUAAGGAUUAUGCCAACACAGAGGGAGGGCCAAUACUAAAGCAAUUUCAAAGAAGUGAAGCCAACGCCAUGACUGAAUCAUAACCAGUCCUUCGUUAUUCUGUCUCUGGACUUUUUCAGUUAGGAACUUGUCGAGGUACUCCAAUGUAGGCUGUGACUAAAUUGAGGAUCCUAAAGGCAUACUACUAACAAUAAAGGCUAUGAAGGAAAGAUAUCAUUAUUGCCUGGAGAUUGGGAGCAAAAACUUUCAGAGAACGUCGGAUUUGGUGUUAUUAAAAAAAAAAAAAAAACAAGAAUCAGAAUUGAAUGAGCAUGACAGACAGGGGAGCUGUAUCCUUUAAAGGUAAGGCAAUAGCAGAA
This is a long non-coding RNA of Ochotona curzoniae (black-lipped pika), 1373 nucleotides long. RefSeq lists it as uncharacterized. Lineage: Eukaryota; Metazoa; Chordata; Mammalia; Lagomorpha; Ochotonidae. The transcript is spliced from 3 exons. The record is from RefSeq and is a predicted model, not a curated record.